GGAGGUAAUGCAACAAUUUAGUUACAGUAUGGGUUUGAAAAUGUUUGACUGUCGGGAUAAGCUGGUACAUUCACACCUUUUAAAUGAGGACAUAAUAAAGUUCUGGAACAAUGACUAUAUAUUGAAUAGAACAGCAACUGGGUGUUUAAUAUUUUGUACUAUGGUGGCACUUGACCUGGUGGAGGCUCGUGGUCUGAUAGAAUCAAAUGCUGUGGGGUUCUUGACAGCGAAGGGGGCGGAUGAUAAGAUGGUUAAAACUCUACUAGAUCUCUAUAGACAAUGCGCACGCGCCGUGAAGCAAGUACACCACUGUGCCGCUACCUUGGAACUCGCAAAUUGCUUUCGGAAAGGUAUAUGGAAAAUUGGCUGGACACCUGAUAUCCAACCAUUAUUAGUCGCACGACGACGAGAUU
Molecule: long non-coding RNA, 413 nt
Organism: Pieris napi
Lineage: Eukaryota; Metazoa; Arthropoda; Insecta; Lepidoptera; Pieridae
Exons: 3
Source: RefSeq, a predicted model, not a curated record